RNAcentral lists this ribosomal RNA (253 nucleotides) under uncultured bacterium. RNAcentral describes it as "partial 16S ribosomal RNA". It matches the Rfam family "Bacterial small subunit ribosomal RNA", at positions 524 to 776 of the family's 1533-position model. The record is from RNAcentral.
UACGAAGGGGGCUAGCGUUGUUCGGAAUUACUGGGCGUAAAGCGCACGUAGGCGGAUCGGUCAGUCAGGGGUGAAAUCCCAGGGCUCAACCCUGGAACUGCCUUUGAUACUGUCGAUCUGGAGUAUGGAAGAGGUGAGUGGAAUUCCGAGUGUAGAGGUGAAAUUCGUAGAUAUUCGGAGGAACACCAGUGGCGAAGGCGGCUCGCUGGACCAUUACUGACGCUGAGGUGCGAAAGCGUGGGGAGCAAACAGG